AAAUAUAUGUUUCUUUGCAUUCUUUUGUAGAUUUUGACAUUAGCCUCUCGAAUAUCUUCGCACGGGUCGGAAAUUAUGUAUUUGUAUCGUGUCAUUAAAUUGCUUACUAUACCAACAAAAAUAUUUGAUAACAUGCAAGAAAUAUCCUAUUGUUUGAUGUAAAAUGUGGAAGUUGCAUGCAGAAGUGGACAAACAUCAUUGCACGCCUUUUCGGAGGAAGUUCCACGACCAUCGACACGGAACGAUAUAGUCGUGUCGUUCAUUUGCUUCCAAAGUGUCCCAGCCCACGAACAAAUCGACCGUUCGGACAACAAACGUACAGUCUACGUGCGUAUUGCAUUACAUAAAUACGGAAUAAGAAGACGACCAUAAGUACAAUUUCGUUGGCAGAUUCCAAAACAAAAACGGUCGGCGAUAUGUAUGUCCGUGCAACCCCGGUGUAACACCGAUCAACACCUGAAUAUUAGGAUGACUAAUCUAAUCUCUAUCAGUUACAGACAGGAUGAUGAUGUCUCGAAGGCGAUCACUAUAUUACGGAAUCGACGAAGGCUGCGUCGAUGAUGCCUGCCAAAUAACUACGGUUAAGAUGAGCGGUUGACUAUGACUCGAACGGGCAACAAAUAGGACGCAAUGAAGUCAAACAUUGUGCAUAAUACGGUGAUGAACCUGAACCACAGAGUUUCCUUUAACUUAACUCAGGGCUGCGUUGUAGUGAUGUAUUCUACGGGAAAGACGACGCCUCGGAAUGGUCAAAUUUUCACCGCGGCGCUGUUCCAUCUUUUCAACCUGAUGCUGCUCAUCCCAUGCGAUCGCUGUGACUAGGACAAUGAACUACAUCCCGCUCUGGAAUUCCAUAAUUUAUGCUUAGUUCUGUCCCAUGACAAACUCUUAGGUUUUGUUUAUGACGCUGCUGAUACCGGCAUGGAUCCUAAAAUGGCUCUCGGGACACUUCUCAUGGCCACCACGGGAACCAUCAAGACAUCAAGAAGCUCUGUAUGUGUGUCCAUAAGAGAACGGAAAAGGAGAAUGGUGCCUAUGAGGUGUAGUGUUUGAUAAUGAUGUGAUAGCAGGACGAUGCGUAUCAUGAAAAAACGGACUAUUGUUUUAUUACCAAGAAGAAUGAAAAAAGAUAAAUAUAAAUAUUUGUUUAGAUUUUCUUAUAAAACACAAGUCAAAUAAGAAAUGAAA
Long non-coding RNA from Armigeres subalbatus, 1188 nucleotides. RefSeq lists it as uncharacterized. The transcript is spliced from 3 exons. The record is from RefSeq and is a predicted model, not a curated record. NCBI's taxonomy places the organism in Eukaryota, Metazoa, Arthropoda, Insecta, Diptera, Culicidae.